Molecule: non-coding RNA, 236 nt
Organism: Biomphalaria pfeifferi
Lineage: Eukaryota; Metazoa; Mollusca; Gastropoda; Planorbidae
Source: the annotation of a GenBank genome assembly
GACAGAAGAUGUUAUAAUAUUUUAUAAUUGUAUAAUUGUAUUGUAAUUAUAAAACAUGAUGACAGAAGAUGUUAUAAUAUUUUAAAAUGACAGAAGAUGUUAUAAUUUUUUAAAAUGACAGAAGAUGUUAUAAUAUUUUAAAAUGACAGAAGAUGUCAUAAUAUUUUAAAAUGACAGAAGAUGUUAUAAUAUUUUUAAAUGACAGAAGAUGUUAUAAUAUUUUUAAAUGACAGAAG